This 628-nucleotide ribosomal RNA is filed under the name uncultured archaeon. RNAcentral describes it as "bacterial SSU rRNA". It matches the Rfam family "Archaeal small subunit ribosomal RNA", at positions 1 to 606 of the family's 1478-position model. The record is from RNAcentral.
UUCCGGUUGAUCCUGCCGGACCCUACUGCUAUCGGGAUAAGACUAAAACAUGCUAGUUGUGCGCACCCAAGCUAUGUUGGGAGCGCAGCGAACGGCUCCGUAACACGUAGUCAAUCUAACCUUAGGACGGGAAUAACCCCGGGAAACUGGGGCUAAUACCUGAUAGGCGAAAAAGUCUGGAAUGACUUUUCACUGAAAGAGUCUUAGGAACAUGCUCCUUUUACUGCCUAAGGAUGAGACUGCGACCGAUCAGGUUGUUGGUGGGGUAAUGGCCUACCAAGCCUAUAACCGGUACGGGCCCUGAGAGGGGGAGCCCGGAGAUGGGAACUGAGACAAGGUCCCAGACCCUACGGGGUGCAGCAGUUGCGAAAACUCUACAAUGCACGAAAGUGUGAUAGGGUUAUCCCGAGUGCCGUCCGAUGAGGAUGGCUUUUACUUGGUGUAAGGAGCCAAGGGAAUAAAGGGGGGGCAAGACUGGUGUCAGCCGCCGCGGUAAUACCAGCCCCCUGAGUGGUAGGGAUGAUUAUUUGGCCUAAAGCGUCCGUAGCCGGCUUAGCAAGUCUUUCGUUAAAUCCGAUGACUUAAUCAUUGGGCUGCGAGAGAUACUACUAGGCUUGAGGACGGGAGA